UGGUUGCCGGGCGAAAGCCCAGUCUUGGCUCCUUUGAGCCCCAACGGACGGCGGCGGCGGUUUUCCGUUGCUCCUCUUCUUGGAGACGUCGUUUUGGCAUCCCCUAGCGUACGGCGACCGGUCACGAUCAGCAGCGGCCGGUCCGGUGCUAGCCUCCUCCUGGUCGUGUGUGUUGGCGCUGUCGGUGUGUGGGGGUUGUAUAUUUUUUCCUUUUUCCGUGUUAUGACCCUCUAG
Molecule: long non-coding RNA, 234 nt
Filed under: Oryza sativa Indica Group (long-grained rice)
Lineage: Eukaryota; Viridiplantae; Streptophyta; Magnoliopsida; Poales; Poaceae
Description: lncRNA OsKYG_05g0012480
Source: RNAcentral